RNAcentral lists this long non-coding RNA (320 nucleotides) under Elaeis guineensis (African oil palm). RNAcentral's name for it is "long non-coding RNA (EGUI_LNC032063)". The record is from RNAcentral. Lineage: Eukaryota; Viridiplantae; Streptophyta; Magnoliopsida; Arecales; Arecaceae.
AGUAAAAGUUCGGAGUAGACCGCUCGUAGUAGAAGUUCGGCUAUCGCAGGAGCUCGACUGGAAUCCUGAAGACGGUCGACCGCCGUAGAAACUUGGAUGGAAUCUGAUCACUGUAGAAAUCUCGUUGUCGAAGAAGCUCGGCUAUUAACGAAGUCCGGAAGGAGUUCGGAGAAUAGUUGAUCACCGUAGAAGGUCGACUGAUAGUGAGGCCUAGAGAGUCUUUGGAGCGGCCCGGUAGAUGAAUGGAGAAGCUUAUUGUCGGAUAAGUCCGGAAUCUCGAACGGUCUAGGAGGCUCAGAGAGAUGCCACACAAGGUCGGA